AAAAAAGGUAUUGUUAUCAAAGGCAAAAAUAAUAAUACUUAUAAAAUGAUCGAACUACAAUUUUUCGUCAACUGUUCAAUUGACCAUUGCAACCUCCAAAAACGAAUAAGCUUAGUUAACUCCAUGAUUUUAAUGUGGGAGCAAAAUUCGACAUUGGCGAAUUUCGAUAAGUACAUACAAAGCAAAAGUGAAACGUCAUUAGGUAUCAAAACAUUUCACUGUGAAAAUGGACGGUACGAUUUUUAACGUCGGUGAAAACAACUUUGCUAGUGAAGCGGGCCUUCAUAUAAUACUACAUAGAAAUCAGUAACAAAUUCUUUGCACAGUUAUCACUAUAAAGAACAACCUAUGCCUGGAAACAAGAAAAAGCACUAAUCUUGGAAUAUCCUCGUUUGUGGGAGCCUGUGGAAGCUCCUGUGAAAUAUAUUUGUUAAAGGAAUGCAAAAAUAUGUGAUCGCCGAUAAUGCUGAUAUUUGCAAAAAGAAUUAGUUUCUUGUAUUCAGUGCGAAGAUCAACCGUCGAGCAUGCCACAUUAGAAACAGUUCUUGUGCUUUCACAUUCUUGAAUUCAAACAGAUAAAGCACAAAUCGAACGACACAGUUCAUAUACGUGAUGGAUUUGAUCGAAACUGUGUUUUCGAACUCAGAGUUAGUUCCAGGAUGUUAGUGUUAGGCGUUCAUUUUUCAAAAGGAUCAAACCACAACAAAGUUUCAAAGAUUAAAAAAAAACUAGCUACCUUCAGCUAUACACAUCUUAACAUUCGAUUUCUUUGAAUGAUGAUGGACUAACGAGUUAUCUCAAAGAGUUGAAGGCAAAUAUCGUCCGGUGUUAGUGUUGGAACAUCAUCAAAGUGUGUUAUUUGAGAACUUUGUAUCGAUUUUCCUGAACAGUUCCAUCGAUUUUCGGCGUAGAGGAAUAAUAUAUGAAUUCACAUCUAUAGAGCAAUUUCAUGAAAGAGUAAUGAAGUUUUUUUUAAGUUUAAUUUAAACAUGUUGUUAUUUACUCUUUGUUCAUCGUAUGUAUUGUAUCAUUGAACGUUUAUCAUUGGAGUUCAUGCAUUAGAAUUAGGAUUUAUUUAUUUUCUAUCAACAUCGUUGUAUCCAGAAUUCAAAUCUGUUAAGUUUCGCUGCUACUAAAUUAUCAAAACACAUGGAAGAAAUCCAAGACUCGGGUUAUCCAGCAGUUAUAAGAUUAGCAAAGGCAUCUAAGGAAAUGUAUGAACAAGCUGGAGUCGAACUAUAGGCAGUAUAUUUCAGUUGUAAUUUCCGGUGUGAAUGUUGGCCAUAGGUAUACUCAGAUAAAAGCAGCGGUUGGCAGUUAACAAAAGUUCUUGCGGGUUCCAAUUUCAACAAAUUUAUGAUAGUCCAUCUUUAUUACUAACUGUUCGGAAGAUGUGUUUAAACACUAGCAAAAUAAGACAGCCUAGUUGACAUUUUGGAAGGAACUGAAGUUUUAGUAUAAUUAGAAUGUUCUAAACCAAACAGCAAUUAGAUUUUAGUUCGCGUCAUUAUAUCAGUUAAGCCUUUAAAACUCUGACCGCUAAAAAUUAAAAAAUAGAUUAUCAAUAUUAUAUAUAUAUUUUUUUCUUAUAUUAUUUUUUUUCUUUUCUUAAAAAUAACACAAUUACAAAAUUCAUUACGAGUUACAUUUGAAAGGCGAAAAAUCAGGAUCAAAACUUAAUAUUUAAUUUAACAUACUUCGACUGUCGUGUUUUGUUUUCCUGAUUUUCCAGAUUUUUUCUGUAUUUAAUCUGUGAUGUAUCAACGAUGCAACGAAAAAACUCUUCAAAUCGUGGCAGCUUGGUAGAACUAUUGGGAUCGGCAAAGAGCUUAAAUAUUUCGAAUAAACUUUUCCUGAAUUUUCGAUCCCUUCGUCUUGCAGUUGCGUGUAGCAGGAAUCUAACGUCACGAAGUAAUAAAAAAAAUCUGCAGAAGGAUAAUUAUGUGAUGUUUCUGUUUGCUUCUGUAAUAAAACAGUAUAGCGGCUCAUUUGUAAAUCAAACGGAACUUGAGUUGUGCAAACCGAUAGACAAUCGUUACAUGCUUUUUUACGCAUGAUUGAAGUUGCGAUUAUUUUAUGGCAACGGUCAAACAAACCAUUCAGUUUAGAAUUGUCUUUAUAUGAAACAAUAUGACUCCCAUAAACCACUGGAUCGAUUAAAGCGAAGUCAUAAGGAUUAUCUCCGGAAUUUUGAGCUGAAACAUCAGGAACACAUUCAAAAACCGUCUCCAUUGAUGAAUCUAUUGCCUCCGUCGCAGAAAAGCUUUGUUUUGAUGACGAUGCCAAGCCACGGUCUGUGGCAGUUAACGAAUCUCCCGAAUCAUUGAUUGUUUUAUUUCGACUCCUAUCCUUCAACAGGUCAUUGAACGAAAUGAGGUGAUUUCGGUCAUCAACGUCAUAUGAACUGCCAUUUGGGACGUGCAUGCAUUGCGACAGAGAAACAGUGCGCAAAUGCUGCUUCAUUUGGAGUGCCGUUGGUCGUUUUUGUUUCGAGCGAAUGAUAGAGAAAACAUUCUCCAGACAAUCUUGCGUGCAUCGCGAUGUAUAAAAAACAGAGUAAUUCAUAACAUUGAACAAAUGUGAUUGAAGUCUUAGAACUGCUUUAGUGGCAAUAAC
Molecule: long non-coding RNA, 2616 nt
Organism: Toxorhynchites rutilus septentrionalis
Lineage: Eukaryota; Metazoa; Arthropoda; Insecta; Diptera; Culicidae
Exons: 5
Source: RefSeq, a predicted model, not a curated record